This 958-nucleotide long non-coding RNA is filed under the name Anas platyrhynchos platyrhynchos (common mallard). Its description in RNAcentral is "lncRNA (ENSAPLG00000017041.1)". Lineage: Eukaryota; Metazoa; Chordata; Aves; Anseriformes; Anatidae. The record is from RNAcentral.
CUGGAUGCUAAGUCUGAGCUUACAUGGAUCCCAGGGAGGUGGGCAGGCUUGUGCAGCUGAGGGUCCCAGCUGAGGCAAUGGCAGGCUACAGGUGCCCUUAGGGCUGUCACACAUGGAGGUGCUUUGGUUUAAAUUGGACAUAACGCAUAGGAGUAGGGCUACUUAGGUUCUGGUUGGGUGGUUCUUCCUUUUUGAGUGCCUGCUCUGAUAGUGCUGAAUGUAUGGGGAGGAAUAUUCAGACUGGCUACAGCUCCCCAAGUGUCUGUUUGUCUUUCCUUUGAAACUACAAUGUGGUGGAUUCAGCAACAUGAGUUCUUCAGGUGCAAAAGAAAAUCCGACAUCUUCGCUCACAAGGAGAGAUGCCUGGACAGGGUUUACAGUCCAUCAACGCCGUAAGAGCAGGGGUGAUGUAAGACAAGGCGACAGCACUCAAGCCCAAAACCUGACGGAUGGACUCUCUUGGAAGGAAGGGAUUCUUCUUUCCAAUUCCUUCAGUUUGGGGACCUGACGUGGUCCCUUCCAAACUGAGGAUACCUGCUUAAGGUGGUUGCAUCUUACAUAGCAGGCCCAUCUCAGAAGUGAGAUUUGAGGAAGAAUAUUAAGUCCUUCAGAAGACCGUGGAGCUGGAGGAUGUCAUGGGGAAUCCCUUCCAUCUCUGUAGGAUAAACUCUGUUUCUUCUGAAGCUGGAAUCUUACAAGUCUCAUGGUGGCUCUAUACAGAAAGUGGAGCACUUGGAAAAUAGCCUUUCCUUUUCUCCGAUCCUCUUCCCCCUUUCUUCCUAAAGUAGCAAACCUUUUGCAGAAGAAUGGUAUGACAGGUCUUCAAGAACCAAGUCUUUAUAUAGUGGGAGUUUCUAUCAAAAAAUACCAAAGAUGACUUUGUACUGAAACCUUGUGAUAGCUUGUCUUCCUUCAGGGAAAAGAAGGCAAAAUAAAAGCAUCUAGUCUCAUGGAUGCA